This 231-nucleotide long non-coding RNA is filed under the name Amborella trichopoda. RNAcentral describes it as "long non-coding RNA (ATRI_LNC003954)". The record is from RNAcentral. Lineage: Eukaryota; Viridiplantae; Streptophyta; Magnoliopsida; Amborellales; Amborellaceae.
UUAGAUUUAUAUUUGUCUUUUUUGUAUUUUUUGUAUUUUUUCUUUUUCUUAUACAAUUUUUCUGGCAUAUUUUUUCUAUCAAGGUAAUAUCCAAAUUGUUCACAAAAGUCACAAAGUUCUUUCCGUUUGGUGAUCUUUUGUUUAUCUAAUUGUCUUUUAAGAUUCAUAUCAGUGCAUAAGGCUAAGCCUUCAACACAUAUUUCUGCGAAGAGUUCUCCGAGUGUAUAAGCU